This 301-nucleotide ribosomal RNA is filed under the name uncultured bacterium. RNAcentral describes it as "partial 16S ribosomal RNA". It matches the Rfam family "Bacterial small subunit ribosomal RNA", at positions 509 to 807 of the family's 1533-position model. The record is from RNAcentral.
CAGCAGCCGCGGGAAUACGAAGGGUGCAAGCGUUACUCGGAAUUACUGGGCGUAAAGCGUGCGUAGGUGGUGGUUUAAGUCCGUUGUGAAAGCCCUGGGCUCAACCUGGGAAUUGCAGUGGAUACUGGAUCACUAGAGUGUGGUAGAGGAUAGUGGAAUUUCCGGUGUAGCAGUGAAAUGCGUAGAGAUCGGAAGGAACAUCUGUGGCGAAGGCGACUAUCUGGGCCAACACUGACACUGAGGCACGAAAGCGUGGGGAGCAAACAGGAUUAGAGACCCCCGUAGUCCCUGUCUCUUAUAC